GGGUGAUUAGCUCAGCUGGUUCAGAGCACCUCGUUUACACCGAGGGGGUCGGGGGUUCGAACCCCUCAUUACCCACAA
This 78-nucleotide transfer RNA is filed under the name Flavobacterium daejeonense. RNAcentral describes it as "tRNA-Val". It matches the Rfam family "tRNA". From Rfam's summary of the family: Transfer RNA (tRNA) molecules are approximately 80 nucleotides in length. Lineage: Bacteria; Pseudomonadati; Bacteroidota; Flavobacteriia; Flavobacteriales; Flavobacteriaceae. RNAcentral also lists the same sequence under 1 other name. The record is from RNAcentral.